RNAcentral lists this transfer RNA (87 nucleotides) under Piridium sociabile. Its description in RNAcentral is "tRNA-Tyr". It matches the Rfam family "tRNA". From Rfam's summary of the family: Transfer RNA (tRNA) molecules are approximately 80 nucleotides in length. The record is from RNAcentral. Lineage: Eukaryota; Vitrellaceae.
AAGUUGAUGCUUGAGUGGUUAAAAAGAAUGGACUGUAAAUCCAUGGAUACUUAAUGAUCUUCAUCGGUUCAAAUCCGAUUCAACUUA